UACAUACUAGCCAAAUGGUAAGGCGAAGGUAAUGGGUACCUUAAUUUCUAGGUUCGAUUCCUGGGUAUAUCAACA
Molecule: transfer RNA, 75 nt
Filed under: Rivularia sp. PCC 7116
Lineage: Bacteria; Bacillati; Cyanobacteriota; Cyanophyceae; Nostocales; Rivulariaceae
Description: tRNA-OTHER
Rfam family: tRNA
About the family: Transfer RNA (tRNA) molecules are approximately 80 nucleotides in length. Their secondary structure includes four short double-helical elements and three loops (D, anti-codon, and T loops). Further hydrogen bonds mediate the characteristic L-shaped molecular structure. tRNAs have two regions of fundamental functional importance: the anti-codon, which is responsible for specific mRNA codon recognition, and the 3' end, to which the tRNAs corresponding amino acid is attached (by aminoacyl-tRNA synthetases). tRNAs cope with the degeneracy of the genetic code in two manners: having more than one tRNA (with a specific anti-codon) for a particular amino acid; and 'wobble' base-pairing, i.e. permitting non-standard base-pairing at the 3rd anti-codon position.
Source: RNAcentral